AGGGCACCACCAGGAGUGGAGCCUGCGGCUUAAUUUGACUCAACACGGGGAAACUCACCAGGUCCAGACACAAUAAGGAUUGACAGAUUGAGAGCUCUUUCUUGAUUUUGUGGGUGGUGGUGCAUGGCCGUUCUUAGUUGGUGGAGUGAUUUGUCUGCUUAAUUGCGAUAACGAACGAGACCUUAACCUACUAAAUAGGACUAUUAGCUUUUGCUGAUUUGUUCUUCUUAGAGGGACUAUCGAUUUCAAGUCGAUGGAAGUUUGAGGCA
This 269-nucleotide ribosomal RNA is filed under the name uncultured eukaryote. RNAcentral describes it as "partial small subunit ribosomal RNA". It matches the Rfam family "Eukaryotic small subunit ribosomal RNA", at positions 1161 to 1452 of the family's 1831-position model. The record is from RNAcentral.